CGGCUUGACAGUUGGAAGAAUAGAUUUUUAAGCAAGGUGCUCAUUAUUAAAACUGUUGCACAAACAUUGCCUACAUAUACUGUAAGUGGUUUUCUUCUUCCUAAGUAUGUGUCACGAGUUGGAAAUUAUGAUGAAUUCUCAUUGGUGGGGAUCUAAGGGUAAUGUUCGAAAAAUCCAUUGGGCGAGCUGGAAUAAACUGUGUGCUUCUAAGAAGUUGGGAGGGAUGGGUUUCUGCAUCCUUCAUUGUUUUAAUCUUGCCAUGGUUUGUAAGCAAUGGUAGAGAAUUAUUUCUAAUCCGGAUUGGUUGCGAAGUAAAUUGUUAUGAGCUUGUUACAAAUCCUAGGUUUUGUUUGUUGAGGCAAGCAAAUUUGUCUUAAAGGGAGUGCGAUGGCGAGUUGGUGAUGAUAUAACCAUUUGAAUGUUUUAUGACCCUUGGCUAAAUGAUGAUUUGAAUUGAAAGGACGACAAUUAAAAUAAAUCAUUAAGAUAAAAAAGAAUAAGGAGUCCAAAUUAAAUAUUAGAAAUAAUUAAACAAGAACAUAAUAGAAUAACAUAGAAAUGAAACAAGAUAGAAAGAGAUAAAAGUGACAUGUAGAAAUCCUAAGGAGUCUUAGAAAUUAGAUGAAUCCAUAACCUCCUUCAAACAGUUCCGGUGAAUAGAAUUUAAUAAAUUUCCCCUCAUACGUCGUUGUUUGCUGCAAUAGGUUGUUGUUGCUCCUCUACUAUAGGCAGAUGCGAGUAGUUAGGAAGAAGCACCUGAGGACGGUUAGCUUAAAUGUAAUGUGGACACAACAACGUUUUCCACCAAGAACCAGACCAGUUUUGCUGGUGUUAUUAGAGAUGCUACAAGUAGGUUUAUUCAGGCUUUGUCGAGGCAUUUUCAAGGAGUCAUGGACGCUCAUGUGGCUGAAGCUAUUAUCAUGCGCAAGGCUCUUUCAUGGAUCAAGGAUUCAAACUGU
RNAcentral lists this long non-coding RNA (959 nucleotides) under Gossypium raimondii (Peruvian cotton). Its description in RNAcentral is "long non-coding RNA (GRAI_LNC001268)". Lineage: Eukaryota; Viridiplantae; Streptophyta; Magnoliopsida; Malvales; Malvaceae. The record is from RNAcentral.